GACGUAGGGGGCGAGCGUUGUCCGGAAUUAUUGGGCGUAAAGAGCGCGUAGGCGGCUAGCUCAGUCCGUCGUUAAAGCCCGGGGCUCAACUCCGGGUGGUCGGCGGGGACGGGUUGGCUAGAGGGCGGCAGGGGAGCACGGAAUUCCCGGUGUAGUGGUGAAAUGCGUAGAGAUCGGGAGGAACACCCGCGGCGAAGGCGGUGCUCUGGGCCGUCCCUGACGCUGAGGCGCGAAAGCGUGGGGAGCGAACCGG
Molecule: unclassified non-coding RNA, 253 nt
Filed under: uncultured Chloroflexota bacterium
Lineage: Bacteria; Bacillati; Chloroflexota
Description: uncultured Chloroflexi bacterium contains 16S-23S intergenic spacer region
Rfam family: Bacterial small subunit ribosomal RNA
Source: RNAcentral